RNAcentral lists this ribosomal RNA (488 nucleotides) under uncultured soil bacterium. RNAcentral's name for it is "bacterial SSU rRNA". It matches the Rfam family "Bacterial small subunit ribosomal RNA", at positions 26 to 523 of the family's 1533-position model. The record is from RNAcentral.
AGGAUGAACGCUGGCGGCGUGCUUAACACAUGCAAGUCAUGGGGGCCCAGCAAUGGGCAACCGGCGAACGGGUGCGUAACACGUGAGCAACCUACCCAGGUGUGGGGGAUAGCCGUCCCAACGGACGGGUAAUACCGCAUACGCUCAACACGAGGCAUUUCGAGUUGAGGAAACCUUCGGGGCACCAUGAGGGGCUCGCGGCCUAUCAGCUAGUUGGCGAGGUAACGGCUCACCAAGGCUACGACGGGUAGCUGGUCUGAGAGGAUGACCAGCCACAUUGGGACUGAGAAACGGCCCAGACUCCUACGGGAGGCAGCAGUGGGGAAUCUUGCGCAAAUGGCCUAAACGGCUGACGCAGCGACGCCGCGUGAGGGAUGACGCUCUUCGGAGUGUAAACCUCUUUUGCCUGGAACGAACUAUCAGCUUCAGCUGAUUUGACGGUACCGGUGAAUAAGCACCGGCUAACUCCGUGCCAGCAGCCGCGGUAA